This 253-nucleotide ribosomal RNA is filed under the name uncultured bacterium. RNAcentral's name for it is "partial 16S ribosomal RNA". It matches the Rfam family "Bacterial small subunit ribosomal RNA", at positions 524 to 776 of the family's 1533-position model. The record is from RNAcentral.
GACGUAGGGCGCGAGCGUUGUCCGGAUUUAUUGGGCGUAAAGAGCGUGUAGGCGGUUUGUUAAGUCUGAUGUGAAAGCCCUGGGCUCAACCCAGGAAGUGCAUUGGAAACUGGCAGACUUGAAUACGGGAGAGGGCAGUGGAAUUCCUAGUGUAGGAGUGAAAUCCGUAGAUAUUAGGAGGAACACCGGUGGCGAAGGCGGCUGCCUGGACCGAUAUUGACGCUGAGACGCGAAAGCGUGGGUAGCAAACAGG